ACCUUUCUGAAUCCGUGUUGAAAUUUUAUCAGAUACAAGGCCAUCAGUACUGAUGAAGCUCUCAAGAUAAGUGAAGCG
RNAcentral lists this microRNA precursor (78 nucleotides) under Schistosoma mansoni. RNAcentral describes it as "mir-3492 microRNA precursor family". It matches the Rfam family "mir-3492 microRNA precursor family". The record is from Rfam by way of RNAcentral. Lineage: Eukaryota; Metazoa; Platyhelminthes; Trematoda; Strigeidida; Schistosomatidae.